This is a long non-coding RNA of Oncorhynchus keta (chum salmon), 372 nucleotides long. RefSeq lists it as uncharacterized. NCBI's taxonomy places the organism in Eukaryota, Metazoa, Chordata, Actinopteri, Salmoniformes, Salmonidae. The record is from RefSeq and is a predicted model, not a curated record. The transcript has 3 exons.
UCUAUCAUGGGGACGUGUUGAGAUCAUGGGGAUGUGUUGAGAUCAAGGGGAUGUGUUGAGGUCAAGGGGAUGUGUUGAGGUCAAGGGGAUGUGUUGAGGUCAAGGGGAUGUGUUGAGGUCAAGGGGAUGUGUUGAGGUCAAGGGGAUGUGUUGAGGUCAUGGGGACGUGUUGAGGUCAUGGGGACGUGUUGAGGUCAUGGGGACGUGUUGAGGUCAAGGGGACGUGUUGAGGUCAUGGGGACGUGUUGAGGCAACAUGACUUAAACCAUCAACGGUUGCAGUCCAGACAGAACAAGUAGGACAUCAGAAAUCCUCCAACCAGAAUGGAGAACCUGGACAUUUGACAGCCCUAAACCUAUCCAACCCUUUCAG